UAACAGAUCAGAUCAUGCUGUAUUUAUUACUGAUAGCACUACUAGAAUAGCCAUGGCUGGAGCUCUCAUCUGGUAUCAAAUCCGUCAGAUCUCCCACACGGCACACGCAAAACGCAAAGACCAAGAAGCACAAUCUCGUCCGCCCAUCAACCACCGCCCACCCCUCUCGAGCCACAGCUUAACCCUAGCCGCCUACUGUAGCCUCUAUAAAUAGCACGCCCUGUAAAGGCCACUUCGCCAUCAGAGAGCGAGAGAGUAGCACUCCAGCUGCGAGUGGCCGUCCACGGAGGGGAGAGAGCUUGAAGUAAGGAAGUGGUAGUACUGGCCAUAUGGGCUUGCCAAAGGGGCGCUUACCGAGAGCUCUUUGGCAUUCUGUCCACCUCCUCCUGAAUCUUGCAGGGGAGAUCUCACGAUCUGUCGAGCUUGCUGAUUGCUUGGAGGUGGGCAUACUGCCAAUGGAGCUGUGUAGGCCUCCCUUUGUAAAACCCAGAUGGCAAAAACCAACACGGGCUUCUUGCUUAGUCUAGUUUUUCUCCUGCUUGAAAGGAUGUUAUUGCCAGGCUUGAUGAUGAUCCUUGUAAAAUUCUGGGCUCCUUUUCUGGCUUUCUGUGAGUGCUAGCUCUUGUUUUCUUGGUAGAUGUUGUGGUUCAUCAUGAUGUGCCUUUUGGGGAAGAUUUAGGGCAAGUUAUAUCUCCCCAUAUGUGCUAGUUAUUGUCUGUUCUUGUUGCAUCUUAACUGAAGUGUUUCUUACUUUAUCCCAUGCCGGGGGAGGAAAUAUGGGUGUUUUCAGCAUGGCUUUCUUCUGGAUCUGCAGUUUCUCUCUAUUCCCUAUUGACAAAGUUCUUCCAUUCUUGCUGUUUUUCUUCCCACGCAGGGCCCUUAGUUGAGACUUUAAUGAGUGUUCUCCAACAUCCGAGCAUGUGACAGUGAGAAGUUCUUGAUCCUCGCCAAACAACUAAGAGGUGCGUCGAAGACUGCAUGCAUCUACCCGGUUCACAUUUAGCUUUCCAGUUCAUAAUUUGCCUACAUAUGAAUUAGGCACAAAAUCUGUAGUAGGGACUGAAGCUUUGGCCUCCUGUGGCGAGCGUUCAUUUUAAGUAAAGGCGUGACCGUGGGAGAUUCCAGGUUCAUGCUGCCCGGAUGUUAUCUUGGCUUAUUAUUGAAAACCAAGUCAUGGAACCUAGGCAAUUAAAGAUCUAAUAGAAUUUGUUAUGUGUUUGCUAAUUCCUUUAUUUGAGGAAGUGAUCCGCAUACAAGUCAGUAUUUCUCACUAUAUAUUUCAUGGUCCUACUGCCGAAACUGCAAUGGUAACUUUGUCCGAUUGUGGCUCCAAAGAAGGAAAAAAUGUCGAUAUUGUUAUCUUUUUUGCACUGUAUUUUUAGAUCAUUUAUGUAAUAUUGUAAUAAUAAUCAAACUUUAUAAAUUUUAUUCUAACUUAGGAUAUUACUAAUUUUCAGGAUAAAUAAGAAGAGAGGAAGUAAUACUUAUCAUCGUUGAAAUGUCUAAGAACAUAUGUUGUA
This is a long non-coding RNA of Hordeum vulgare subsp. vulgare (domesticated barley), 1520 nucleotides long. RefSeq lists it as uncharacterized. The record is from RefSeq and is a predicted model, not a curated record. Lineage: Eukaryota; Viridiplantae; Streptophyta; Magnoliopsida; Poales; Poaceae. The transcript has 2 exons.